RNAcentral lists this ribosomal RNA (688 nucleotides) under Scambus calobatus. RNAcentral describes it as "partial large subunit ribosomal RNA". It matches the Rfam family "Eukaryotic large subunit ribosomal RNA", at positions 390 to 819 of the family's 3401-position model. Lineage: Eukaryota; Metazoa; Arthropoda; Insecta; Hymenoptera; Ichneumonidae. The record is from RNAcentral.
CAAGAGUACGUGAAACCGUUCAGGGGUAAACCUGAGAAACCCAAAAGAUCGAAUGGGGAGAUUCAUCGUCAGCGGUACUGGUACGUGUGCGGUUCGCGAUGUCCGAGACUUCGGUCUCGCGGCACGCGUCCGCAUGUUUUUAUUGCCUGGUAUCGUCGGCGUGCACUUCUCCCCUAGUAGGACGUCGCGACCCGUUGGGUGUCGGUCUACGGCCCGGGUGGGUGCCUGUCUCGUGUGCGCUUUAUCGUGUCACUGCGGGGCAGACCCCCGGUUGCCUGACCGGCUGCUCGGCGGUACUCGCAAGGUAUCUGGCCGCAAAUAUUCGAACUGCGUCCGGCCCGUCGCAAGCGAGGCGAGUGUUCCCGAAUGUACGGAUCUAAUGCCGUCAUCGGGCCUAGCCAGCUGUUGGUUGACGGUGUCCUAGGACUGGCUAUAACAAUUAUGAUACCGGUCAGCGACGCUACUGCUUUGGGUACUUUCAGGACCCGUCUUGAAACACGGACCAAGGAGUCUAACAUGUGCGCGAGUCAUUGGGAACUAUUAAGCCUAAAGGCGCAAUGAAAGUGAAGGUCGGCCUUGCGCCGACCGAGGGAGGAUGGGCCGCGUCACGAUGCGGUCCCGCACUCCCGGGGCGUCUCGUUCUCAUUGCGAGAAGAGGCGCACCCAGAGCGUACACGUUGGGACCCGA